Molecule: unclassified non-coding RNA, 663 nt
Filed under: Hevea brasiliensis (rubber tree)
Lineage: Eukaryota; Viridiplantae; Streptophyta; Magnoliopsida; Malpighiales; Euphorbiaceae
Source: RNAcentral
GUACACUUUACACAGUGAAGAACAGGGAAACCCUAAAGGGCACAAAUCUCGGAUGAUCAGCCUUCCCAGACUACAAUGGGCCCAAUUGUCUAGCACCAAUAUAGCCAUCCAUACAGAUCACACAGAAUCAAAAUGGGCUAAUAAUGUGAAAUUACAUCCUCCUUGGGUGGCCUCUAGAUGUGAAAAACGGGUGACUCAGAGCUUCACGAGCAGUCAAACGAUCAGAAGGCUCAUAUCUCAGAAGACCUUGUAAGAGGUCAAUAAGAUCUCCAGCAGAGUGAUCAACAUACUCCAUCACAAGGUUCUGCAGGCGGGGUAACUUGGUAACAGCUUUGAUGCUGUCUCUCGAAGUGGCACCUUCAGGCCAGUUCAAUCGGCCUCUUCUAAUAUACUUGUCAGCAUGUCGAUCAGCUUUUCUCAACAUAUGUUGAGGUAAAGGACCCAGUACUCGCUCCAUCAUAGCCAAAUGCUCCAAGUUCUCAUGGGUCUGAAAUAAUGCUUCUCCCGAACAAAGCUCAACAAGGAUACAGCCCAAACUCCAAAUAUCACAAGGAAAGCUCCAACCAAGUCCCAAUAUAACCUCAGGAGCUCGGUAGUGCCUUGUUGACACUAUGUAAGUAUGAUCUCUGUUGUCAUAUGUCGUGCUACCAAAAUCAAUUACUU